GUCACUAUACUUUCAGGAAUAAUUUCUAUAGUUGACUUGAGAAAUGUGUUUCUAAAGUGUAUGGUCUUGUUAACCACAGUGAUGAAUCGUGAUAUUUCCUUCUGAGCAUGAAGGUGAUAGGAAAUAAAGAUUAUUUUCAUACUUUCUCUAUUAUUGAUGGCUGUGCUUUGCUUCCUCAUUGAACACUGAGGAAGGGAAUAUGAUCAGA
This is a small nucleolar RNA of Archocentrus centrarchus (flier cichlid), 208 nucleotides long. RefSeq annotates it as small nucleolar RNA U3. Lineage: Eukaryota; Metazoa; Chordata; Actinopteri; Cichliformes; Cichlidae. The transcript has a single exon. The record is from RefSeq and is a predicted model, not a curated record.